Molecule: non-coding RNA, 72 nt
Organism: Rhamnusium bicolor
Lineage: Eukaryota; Metazoa; Arthropoda; Insecta; Coleoptera; Cerambycidae
Source: the annotation of a GenBank genome assembly
GGCUUCGUGGCCGAGUGCUAAGGACACUCGCCUCUCACCCUGGAGUUCCGGGUUCGAUCCACGGAGGAGCUA